Molecule: ribosomal RNA, 253 nt
Filed under: uncultured bacterium
Lineage: Bacteria
Description: partial 16S ribosomal RNA
Rfam family: Bacterial small subunit ribosomal RNA
Source: RNAcentral
UACGAAGGGGGCAAGCGUUGUUCGGAAUUACUGGGCGUAAAGCGCAUGUAGGCGGUCAUUCAAGCCAGAGGUGAAAUCCCAAAGCUCAACUUUGGAAUUGCCUUUGGAACUGUGUGACUGGAGUCUCGGAGAGGAUGGUGGAAUUCCAAGUGUAGAGGUGAAAUUCGUAGAUAUUUGGAGGAACACCGGUGGCGAAGGCGGCCAUCUGGACGAGUACUGACGCUGAGAUGCGAAAGCGUGGGGAGCAAACAGG